Molecule: ribosomal RNA, 397 nt
Filed under: uncultured bacterium
Lineage: Bacteria
Description: partial 16S ribosomal RNA
Rfam family: Bacterial small subunit ribosomal RNA
Source: RNAcentral
CUACGUAGGGGGCAAGCGUUAUCCGGAUUUACUGGGUGUGAAGGGAGCGUAGGCGGGAGUGCAAGUCAGAUGUGAAAUGCAUGGGCUUAACCCAUGAGCUGCAUUUGAAACUGCAUUUCUUGAGUGAAGUAGAGGUAAGCGGAAUUCCUGGUGUAGCGGUGAAAUGCGUAGAUAUCAGGAGGAACACCGGUGGCGAAGGCGGCUUACGGGGCUUUUACUGACACUGAGGCGCGACAGCGGGGGGAGCAAACAGGAUUAGAUCCCCGGGUAGUCCACGCCGUAAACGAUGGGCACUAGGUGCUCCGGGGAGCGACCCUUGGAGUACCGGCGCUAACGCAUGAAGUGCCCCGCCUGGGGAGUACGGCCGCAAGGCUGAAACUCAAAUGAAUUGACGGGG